UGGCAGCAGUCGGGAAUAUUGCGCAAUGGAGGAAACUCUGACGCAGUGACGCCGCGUAUAGGAAGAAGGUUUUCGGAUUGUAAACUAUUGUCGUUAGGGAAGAGAAAGGACAGUACCUAAGGAGGAAGCUCCGGCUAACUACGUGCCAGCAGCCGCGGUAAUA
RNAcentral lists this ribosomal RNA (163 nucleotides) under uncultured bacterium. RNAcentral's name for it is "partial 16S ribosomal RNA". It matches the Rfam family "Bacterial small subunit ribosomal RNA", at positions 346 to 525 of the family's 1533-position model. The record is from RNAcentral.